AUCUUUCUAGUAUUAAACUAGUACAAAUGACUUCCAAUCAUUCAGUCUUGGCUCAACACCAAGGAAAGAUA
RNAcentral lists this transfer RNA (71 nucleotides) under Rhodeus cyanorostris. RNAcentral describes it as "tRNA-Gly". The record is from RNAcentral. Lineage: Eukaryota; Metazoa; Chordata; Actinopteri; Cypriniformes; Acheilognathidae.